RNA transcript from Odobenus rosmarus divergens (Pacific walrus), 1857 nucleotides. It is a transcript of the gene named zinc finger protein 420-like, with no coding region annotated. The transcript is spliced from 3 exons. Lineage: Eukaryota; Metazoa; Chordata; Mammalia; Carnivora; Odobenidae. The record is from RefSeq and is a predicted model, not a curated record.
AUGGAAAAGCCCUCGGGCAAAAAGAAGGCACAGACCCCAAAGGAAGAAGGAGAUGGGCUGAAGAACACUCCCAAAGCAGAGAAAGCAUCUGGGGAGAAAAAGGCAAACAAGAAGUCCACUUUGGCGAAAAAGCACAGCAAGGAAGCCAGCCUGAGUCCCGAGGAAGAAGGACACGUAUUUGAUGCCUUUGACGCUUCGUUUAAAGAUGACUUUGAGGGGGUUCCCGUCUUCAUUCCUUUUCAGAGAAAGAAGCCCUAUGAGUGCAGCGAGUGUGGACGCAUCUUCAAGCACAAGACAGACCACCUUCGCCACCAGAGGGUUCACACGGGAGAGAAACCCUUCAGGUGUGAGGAGUGUGGGAAGAUGUUCAGACACAGCUCCGAUGUCACCAAACACCAGAGAAUCCACACUGGAGAGAAGCCCUUUAAAUGCAGCGAGUGCGGGAAGGCCUUUAACUGCGGCUCCAAUCUCCUAAAACAUCAGAAGACGCACACUGGAGAGAAGCCGUAUGAGUGCAAGGAAUGUGGGAAAACCUUUGCCUACAGCUCAUGUCUCAUUCGCCAUCGGAAGCGUCACCCACGGAAGAAGCACUGACCGCACCGCUGUGAGGCCUGCGGCAAGAGCUUCAGGUACAAGUCGCUGCUGCUCAAGCACCAGCGCAUCCACACGGGCGAGAAGCCGUACGCGUGCCACGAGUGCGGGAAGCGCUUCCGCGGCUGGUCGGGCUUCAUCCAGCACCACCGCAUCCACACGGGCGAGAAGCCGUACGAGUGCGGCCAGUGCGGCCGCGCCUUCAGCCACAGCUCGCACUUCACGCAGCACCUGCGCGUCCACAACGGCGAGAAGCCGUACGAGUGCGGCGAGUGCGGCCAGGCCUUCAGCCAGAGCUCCAACCUGGUGCGGCACCAGCGGCUGCACACGGGCGAGAAGCCGUACGCCUGCAGCCAGUGCGGCAAGGCCUUCAUCUGGAGCUCCGUGCUCAUCGAGCACCAGCGCAUCCACACCGGCGAGAAGCCCUACGAGUGCGGGCAGUGCGGGAAGGCCUUCCGCGGCCGCUCCCACUUCUUCCGCCACCUGCGGACCCACACGGGCGAGAAGCCCUUUGCCUGCGGCGCGUGCGGCAAGGCCUUCGGCCAGAGCUCCCAGCUCAUCCAGCACCAGAGGAGCAUUCACUCUGGGGAGAAGCCAUACGCGUGCAGUGACUGCGGGAAGGCCUUCAUCCACAGCUCGCACGUGGUCCGGCACCAGCGCACCCACCACGGGGAGAAGCCCUACAUGUGCAAGGAGUGCGGGAGAGCCUUCAGCCAGAGCUUCAACCUUGUCAGGCACCAGCGAAUUCACACGGGAGAGAAGCCGUACGGAUGUGCUGAGUGUGGCAAGUCCUUCGGUCAGCGGUCAGAUGCCACCAAGCACCAGAGGACACACACGGGCGAGAGGCCAUAUGCGUGCAGCGAGUGCGGGAAGGCCUUCCUCCACAGCUCCAAUGUGGCCCGGCACCAGCGCACCCACCACGGGGAGAGCCCCUACGAAUGUCAAGAGUGCGGCCAGGCCUUCAGCCAGAGCUCCAACCUCCUCCAGCACCGGCGAGUGCACACGGGCGAGAAGCCCUACGCCUGCCCCGAGUGUGGCCGCGCCUUCAGCCGCAGCUCCUUCCUCAGCGAACACCGGCGCAUCCACACCGGGGAGAAGCCCUACGCAUGCGGGGAGUGUGGCCGUGCCUUCAGGGCCCUGUCGGGCUUCUUCCGACACCGGCGGGUCCACACCGGGGAGAAGCCUUUCCGCUGCACCGAGUGCGGCCGCACCUUCCGCCUGAGCUCGCACCUGAUCCAGCACCAGCGCAUCCAUGGCACAGACUGA